This 1083-nucleotide long non-coding RNA is filed under the name Cairina moschata (Muscovy duck). RNAcentral describes it as "domestica (muscovy Duck (domestic type)) lncRNA (ENSCMMG00000008116.1)". The record is from RNAcentral. Lineage: Eukaryota; Metazoa; Chordata; Aves; Anseriformes; Anatidae.
GCUCAGGGUGCACCUAGGGGCGUCCACGCCGCAGCUGAUCCCGCAGCCGAGCAGAGUGUCUCCUGGCUGGCUAAACCCCAAUGAGGAAUAAGAACAGACUGAAACGUUUCAGGCUUCCUGGCUCAGGAAGGUUCAGUGCUGCUGUCAACAUCCAGCAGCCGGUGAUACCACACAAUAAUACAAAAAGCUACUCAUCAAUUUCACAUACUGAAUAUUUCCUCCUGACAUUACAUAUAUCAAGAUAAACCUCUUAUAAAAAGAAUGUUAGAGCGAAGCAGCACAGCCGCUGCUGCCGCUGCCUCCAUGGUUCCGUCAGACAGGCUGCAGGGUCCUGAUGUCCGCCCCUCUGCUAUGUGCCCACUUGCCAGACGGUGCGGGUGGGCUCCCGUUGUCCACUGACGCCUCUGGUCUCCCGUAGCAACGCGAUCUCGGAUGUCCCGUGUCUCCCCGCAGCUUCCUUUCGCGCGUCUCCCCGCGGAUCUUUUCCCGCGCCCCCCACGGUUUCUUUUCUCCGUGUCUCACCGUCAAAAACAGUAUGAAGAAAGUCUAUUAUCUUCCCAUCAGGCCUGGGUCUCAGCUGGGGAGUGCUUUCUGAAGAGGUCAACCAACUUGAAGAGAAUUGAUCUUCCUCCCAAGCUCUAUGAACCAGUGUCUCAGCUAUCAGGGGUAAGCGUCCUUCUGUGUAAGGAAGACAGAAUGGGUACACACACUGUGCAACACCAUGAUAUUACCUAUGUGACCAUGGAGAGAGAAAACAGGACAAAAAGGAAAGAAAAUCUACAAGGAUGCUAGACACAGGGGGACAUGAGUUGCAAGGGGAAAAAAAAGGAGGGGGGCUGGGGGAAGGAAGGGGUUUUCUAAGCAAUUUGUUGUCCCAAAUUGUGGGGGCAGUACACAGUCCUCAGAUCUGGUCCCCAGAGAACAAGUCGCUGUGUGUCUUCUCAGGGUUAUCUCCUAGCCGAAAGACAGAGCUAACACAGCUAACUCACCUCAGCAGGUGCACAAAUACAGUUUUAUCAAUGUUUUGUCAUUGUUAAGCAUGACUGGGAAGGCUAGGUUUGAGCCAAAGACUACUGCAGUCUU